GACGAACGCUGGCGGCGUGCUUUACACAUGCAAUUCGAACGGAAAGGCCUGCUUUCCCUUGUGGAUUUCGGGUACUCGAGUGGCGAACGGGUGAGUAACACGUGAGUGAUCUGCCCCCAACUUGGGUAUAAGCCUGGGAAACUGGGUCUAAUUCCCGAUAGGACUUCAGGGUGGUGCCUGUUGUUGAAAACGAUUUUCUAGUGUUUGGGGAUGGGCUCGCGGCCUAUCAGCUUGUUGGUGGGGUAAUGGCCUACCAAGGCGGCGACGGGUAGCCGGCCUGGGAGGGUGGACGGCCACAUUGGGACUGAGAUACGGCCCAGACUCCUACGGGAGGCAGCAGUGGGGAAGAUUGCACAAUGGGCGGAAGCCUGAUGCAGCGACGCCGCGUGGGGGAUGACGGCCUUCGGGUGGUAAACUCCUUUCGACCGCGAGGAAGCCACCUGGUUGGAAGGGUGGUGACGGUAGUGGUAGAAGAAGCACCGGCUAACUACGUG
RNAcentral lists this ribosomal RNA (494 nucleotides) under uncultured bacterium. Its description in RNAcentral is "partial 16S ribosomal RNA". It matches the Rfam family "Bacterial small subunit ribosomal RNA", at positions 28 to 507 of the family's 1533-position model. The record is from RNAcentral.